GUAGGUGAACCUGCGGAAGGAUCAUUAUUCUAUAACGUCGGGGGCCGGCUUGGUAUCGCGCAGUAUUGGCCUAGCCAGUAUGACCGCUUUACCUCCCCGCUCUGUCUGAAUAUACCCAUGUUUUUUGCGUACCUAUUGUUUCCUCGGCAGGCUUGCCUGCCAGUAGGACCUUUUAAACCCCUUUGUAAUUGCAAUCAGCGUCAGAAAAACAUAAUCGUUACAACUUUCAACAACGGAUCUCUUGGUUCUG
This 250-nucleotide unclassified non-coding RNA is filed under the name rhizosphere metagenome. RNAcentral's name for it is "partial ribosomal RNA internal transcribed spacer region". The record is from RNAcentral.